Molecule: long non-coding RNA, 375 nt
Filed under: Homo sapiens (human)
Lineage: Eukaryota; Metazoa; Chordata; Mammalia; Primates; Hominidae
Description: HSALNT0128605
Source: RNAcentral
GGUCUUGCUGGAGUGCAGUCCCAGGCUGAAGAGAACCUCUCACCUCAGCUCCCAGAAUUGCUAGGACUACAGCGUCCACUGAACUCUCUGCAUUCACUGGAAAGGAGAUAUUUUUCACAGCAGAGCCUUAAUGAAAUCCAAAACAAGAUGAGUCUCAACCAAGGCAACCAAGGAGACCUGAUUACAGGGGACCUGUGAACUUCAUGUUAGAGAAAGAUAAGGAAAUACUGAAAAUGAUUUGUAAUUUUUCUCUUUAUUUUAAAUAUUUAUUAAGAUGAAUUGAAUACAAUACUCCAUUGCUGUUUAAAUCAAUGUUAAUGUUCUUUAACAAUUCACUGACAUGUACUUUCCAUACGUAAUAUACCAGAAAACAAC